UGACACACAGCCUAUACACAUAGUGAUAGGGGCUCGCACUAUACCCGUGUCGGUUCAGCCCCUCCGCCCUUUUGGGUAACCUCUAACAAGCUAGAAAAGGUCUUCAUACUGAGCUAAAGCCAGAGCCAUUAUAGCCCUCAUGGUUGCACUGUUGUCCUGGGUGAUCACAUACAGACAAGAUCUCAUACAAUUAUUUGUCAUUCUUUUAUGUUCAUUGCAUAGCUAUUAAUCAUCUUACA
RNAcentral lists this long non-coding RNA (239 nucleotides) under Sorghum bicolor (sorghum). Its description in RNAcentral is "long non-coding RNA (SBIC_LNC011995)". The record is from RNAcentral. Lineage: Eukaryota; Viridiplantae; Streptophyta; Magnoliopsida; Poales; Poaceae.